AGCAGUAGCCGCGGGAAUACGUAGGGAGCGAGCGUUAAUCGGAAUUACUGGGCGUAAAGCGUGCGCAGGCGGUUAUAUAAGACAGAUGUGAAAUCCCCGGGCUCAACCUGGGACCUGCAUUUGUGACUGUAUAGCUAGAGUACGGUAGAGGGGGAUGGAAUUCCGCGUGUAGCAGUGAAAUGCGUAGAUAUGCGGAGGAACACCGAUGGCGAAGGCAAUCCCCUGGACCUGUACUGACGCUCAUGCACGAAAGCGUGGGGAGCAAACAGGAUUAGAUACCCCAGUAGUCCCUGUCUCUUAUAC
Molecule: ribosomal RNA, 303 nt
Filed under: uncultured bacterium
Lineage: Bacteria
Description: partial 16S ribosomal RNA
Rfam family: Bacterial small subunit ribosomal RNA
Source: RNAcentral